UACGUAGGGUGCGAGCGUUGUCCGGAAUUAUUGGGCGUAAAGGGCUCGUAGGCGGUUUGUCGCGUCGGGAGUGAAAUCCACUGGCUUAACUGGUGGCUUGCUUUCGAUACGGGCAGAUUGGAGGUAUGCAGGGGAGAACGGAAUUCCUGGUGUAGCGGUGAAAUGCGCAGAUAUCAGGAGGAACACCGGUGGCGAAGGCGGAUCUCUGGGCCUUACCUGACGCUCAGGUGCGAAAGCUAGGGGAGCGAACAGG
RNAcentral lists this ribosomal RNA (253 nucleotides) under uncultured bacterium. Its description in RNAcentral is "partial 16S ribosomal RNA". It matches the Rfam family "Bacterial small subunit ribosomal RNA", at positions 524 to 776 of the family's 1533-position model. The record is from RNAcentral.